AGAGUUUGAUCAUGGCUCAGAACGAACGCUGGCGGCGCUUCUUAAGCAUGCAAGUCGGGCGGCAGCCGCAGCGAUGCGGCGAGAGCGGCGGACGGGUGAGUAACGCGUGGACAACCGACCCUCCGGACGGGGAUAGCCGCGGGAAACUGCGGAUAAUACCGGAUACGACCCGGGGAGCGAAGGCGCUCCGGGGGAAAGCCGCUGCGGCGGCGCCGGGGGACGGGUCUGCGUCCCAUCAGCUAGACGGCGGGGUGAAGGCCCACCGUGGCGACGACGGGUAGCCGGCCUGAGAGGGUGGACGGCCACAUUGGGACUGAGAACGGCCCAGACUCCUACGGGAGGCAGCAGCUAAGGAUCUUCCGCAAUGGGCGAAAGCCUGACGGAGCGACGCCGCGUGGACGAUGGAGGCCGUGAGGUUGUAAAGUCCUUUUUUUUCCCGUGCACAGCCGUGCCAGGGAAUGGGUGCAAAAGGACAUGGCCACGGGAAUAAGCCCCGGCUAACUACGUGCCAGCAGCCGCGGUAACACGUAGGGGGCGAGCGUUGUUCGGAAUCAUUGGGCGUAAAGGGCGCGCAGGCGGCUGCGGGAGCCCGGCGUGAAAUCCACAGGCCCAACCUGUGGGGGUCGCCGGGGACUCCGCGGCUGGAGUCCAGGAAGCGGUUCAGGAAUUCCCGGUGUAGGGGUGAAAUCUGUAGAUAUCGGGAAGAACACCAAUGGCG
Molecule: ribosomal RNA, 718 nt
Filed under: uncultured bacterium
Lineage: Bacteria
Description: bacterial SSU rRNA
Rfam family: Bacterial small subunit ribosomal RNA
Source: RNAcentral